RNAcentral lists this ribosomal RNA (301 nucleotides) under uncultured bacterium. RNAcentral describes it as "partial 16S ribosomal RNA". It matches the Rfam family "Bacterial small subunit ribosomal RNA", at positions 509 to 807 of the family's 1533-position model. The record is from RNAcentral.
CAGUCGCCACGGUAAUACGUAGGGUGCGAGCGUUAAUCGGAAUUACUAGGCGUAAAGCGUGCGCAGGCGGUUUUGUAAGACAGGCGUGAAAUCCCCGGGCUCAACCUGGGAAUGGCGCUUGUGACUGCAAAGCUAGAGUGCGGCAGAGGGGGAUGGAAUUCCGCGUGUAGCAGUGAAAUGCGUAGAUAUGCGGAGGAACACCGAUGGCGAAGGCAAUCCCCUGGGCCUGCACUGACGCUCAUGCACGAAAGCGUGGGGAGCAAACAGGAUUAGAUACCCCGGUAGUCCCUGUCUCUUAUAC